Molecule: RNA transcript, 3839 nt
Organism: Lycium ferocissimum
Lineage: Eukaryota; Viridiplantae; Streptophyta; Magnoliopsida; Solanales; Solanaceae
Exons: 4
Source: RefSeq, a predicted model, not a curated record
UGGUCCCAAAAACCAAUAUUUCAUAGGGAGCUAGGUGCGAACCUAUUAAAAAUGAAAUAGCUCCAAAAAGUUCCCUCUCACUCUAAAAUCCCUAAAUCCCUGAGUGGCAACUUUCAUCAAUCAGAAUCCUAAAAUUCAUCUCUCUCAACCCCUCUUGUCUACCAUUGGAAUUAUCAGGCUUAGUAAUCAAGAGUAAGUUAAUUUCUUUCUCUUCUUUUAUAUGAUUCAUGCCCUUCUUCUUCAUCAUCAUUUUUUUUUUGCGAUGGAAACCAAAAAAUUUAUGUUUCUGUUGGUCUUCUGCAAUUAAGUUUCUUAUAGUACUGAUUGUUGUUGUGUGAGGGCUAAAAGUGAGAGUAUUGGGUUUAAAGCUAAGGCUCGGGGGUUAAGGAGGAGAAACUUGAGUAUUUAUUGUAGGAUUUCGUCUACGCGAUUUGCUAUCGAUGUUUGCGUUUAGGAUCUUUAACAGGGAGAAAGAAGAAUGUUGAAUGCAGAUUAAAAGAUGUGUUUGCCUUCUUUUAUUUUGGGAUUCUUCCCAAGUUUUAUACUAUAACAUGAAUCAUUUGAGAAAUGACUUUGUGGGUUGCUUCUAUGAGUGCGUAGUUUUACUUCUAUUAAGUUAUAUGUCUAAGCUGGUUUGUGAUGUUUUCUUCUGUUUUUACCCCAACUCUUACUUUGAUUUUGUAGUUUUCUUAUGUGGGUAUAUUUUAUUCUUCUAUUUUAGUGAAGUUAUAAAAUGUGUCUUUGUGUAAGUCUGUUGUGUUUGGCCAAAACAUUACUUCAGCUUUGAGCAUUAUACUAUAGCCUCGGUUUUGAUUGAAAAUUUCAGUUUUGAUGGAGUGCAAAUUUUGCUUUGUCACUGCACAAAUAAAGCCUAUUAUUUGUUUUUUGUAUAUGCUGAAGAAAAUUAUUAUUCCCGUGUUCUUGUGCAUGCCAGUAGGUUGUUUUAGUUCUCCUUAGUCAUUACAGUUUUUUUUUUUUUUUUUUUAAAUUGUGGAAUAGCUAGUGUAUCAUAUUUUUAUCUAAGAAAACUAAGAUAGAAAAUCAGUGACUUAGCUUUAAACUGAUUUGUGUGUUUUAAUUUCUCAUAUUCUUGAGCAAUUGUGAGUUAUACGUUAUGCAUAUCAGUCAGUAGCUUAUUUCAUUCUUGUGAUAUCGUAGUAAGUUUUAAUAAUAUGGAUGAGUUAUCAAGUUUAAUAAAAAGAAAUAUGCAUCUUAGGACAGAGAUUUAGUUUCAAUGUAAUUAGUUUGAUGUGUAUGAUAAAACUAAAGGAAUUAAAGAAGAUGAAUAUGGCAUUGUAUUUGUGGAGGUGGGAUCUAUCCCCCGGAGUGGUAUUUGUGCUAGUCAAAGUAUGCCACCACUUUCAAACAUUAGGAAAAUAGAUUCUACCAUGUCUGUUCAAGGAAUGCGAGCUGAUAUUCCAAGUUCUCCAUCUACUGAUGAAGUUAUGCAGUACACCCAAACAUUUGAAAUAGGUAUGAUUCUCAAAUUUAUCGUGUUAUUAAUUUGUACAACUAAAUUGUCCUUUAAGUUUCCAUAACCUGGUACACAAAUUGUCCUUUAAGUUUUCAUAACCAGUGCACUUUUGUCUUGGAUUAAUGUUUCCUUGUAGAACUAACAGAGUACUCAAGUGAUCCAUACAAUUGUAGUUUUCUGGUGCAGUUCCUCACCUGAUAUUAUGCUCUAAUAUAUUUUGUUGGUACAGUUUCAUUUGGGACACAAUGUAAGCUUUUGAAAGAUGGACAUUUAUAUAUAUUGUAUGUAUAGGUCAGUUUUGGUACAUGUAAAGGAUAUUGCUGAUGCAGUUUAGGUGAGAAUGCAGUGUUUGUUUUUAAUAGCUGUUCAUUUUUGUCGAGUCUGAAAUACUAUUAAGCUUUGGUCCAUGUUUAGGUACCCAAAUUACUGUUUUUUUGUGCAUAUUCUACUGGAGUGAUGAUGCUAUUUUGAUCUAUGAAUUGGUGCAGUUUUACUCUAUAAAACGGUGCAAUUUUUCUGAUGCUUGGUUCUGCAAGUUCGAGCAUUUUUUUUUUUUUUAGGAUGACUCUAACAGGAUGGAAUUGUUUUCUAGACACAGAUCUCUAAUACUUGGAUAGAAUAUUUUUGUACAGAGGUAUGGCUCCUUAUGAUGUUCUAUUAUUUCAGUAGCAUCAUUCUGAUGGUUCUUAGUUGGCAUUUGGACAACAUUUGGUUGACGUUGAAUAUGCCAGUUACCGCAGGAUUAUAAGCAGAUAUGGUCUUGAAGUGAUGUGAAAUUUUGUUACUAGAUUUUACAUGGAACUAGUAAGAACUCACAAUUUCCACAUACUUCGUACUUUUAAAGAAAGAAAAGGAAAACACCAACUCCAAUUUAAUAGCAUAUUGGAUGUCAACCUAUGUUUUAUUUGUUGUAGGAUAAAUUUGAGAGCGAUGACAUGAAUAUUCAUCGCGAUCAUAUUUUGGGAUGGAUGAAAGAAUUAUGGAACAAAUGGAGAGGAAAAUUACCCAAAAAGUACGUGAAGGGCUAAGUAAGAUUAUUUAUCAAAUAAAGCUAAGUUAAAGAUGCUUCAUCAUAGUGGUAGCAAGGCCAUUAGAGAGAUUAGUUAUCAAAAGGUGUUAUCAUUAAUCAUAAUUUUUUAUAAUAUUGACGAGCCAUCAUUUGACAUGUUUACUUUUAUGUAAAGGGUGGAAAAGAUGGAAACCCACCAGAUUUGGGAACUAUUUUCUUUGAGAAUCGCAAGAAGAAUAACUCACUUGUCGAUUCAAAAUCAAUCGAGAAACAUGCUCAAAUUCAAGAACUGGUGCACUCUGAACCGUCUCUUCCUAGCAUAGAGGUUGUAAAAAAAUGCUUUGGACCUCAAACUCGUAGCCAUGUAUUUGGCUUUGGAGGUGGAGUAAAGGCGAAAGAUUUCAAAGGUUGGACUUCUUCAAAGGCUGAGUUGUUGUCUGAGCUACGUUCAACUCAAGCAGAAAAUCAAUCUUUGAAAGAUCGUUUGUCUAACUUUGAAACUGAGAUGAAAGAAAUGAAGCAAUUAAAAGAGUUGUUAUUAGCUCAACAAAUUUCCAAUCUCCGACAUCAUCUAUUUUAGGAGAGUGACUGUUCCUUUGAUGAUACCAAGUUAUGGAAACUGAAGUUUACGAGAAGCAGAUCUUUCAGGACGUACAGAUUGACUAUCAUUUUGCUAUGGAUAUUAGCUAUAUAGGUUUUAUGCUCAGGGUUAUGUACGAGAUACUAUGAUGACUAGCAUACAUCAUUGAUGUAUGGUGUCAAAUGUUGAUCAUUUUUGUAUAUAUAUAUAGAUUAUAUCAUUUUGUUACCAGAUAUUUCUUGUUGGAAAUUAUUUGAUUUUUGGACCAGUAAAAUGUUUCUUUGGGGACGAGACAAGUAGUCCUUAAAUUUUUUGUAGGUGCAGAAAAUCUGGUUGCUAAACCCAUUAUCCUUGCGCUAUUGACAUCAAUUCACGGCCAAAAAUCUAGUCCCUAAAGUAAAUUAUGGACCAGCCUGCAAGUCUGAACAUCCUCACUUACGCACCAAAAAUACGGUCCAUAAAAGUGUUUUAAGGACUAGUAUUAUGGCAGUCGCAAAAACUAUGUAGGACCAGCCACUCAUUCCUGUCGCUAAUGACCUUAAGAGGUGGAGCAUAUAAGGACGAGCUGGCAACCAGAAUUUCUGGCCCCUAUUCACUUUUAGGGAUCAUAAUUCUACUUUUAGAGACCAGUUUUCCCUUCGCUAGUAAGCAGUCUUCUUGUAGUGGUAGUUGUGUUAUUGGAAGGAAAGGGUUGAUAAAUAUACUCUUCGUGUUGAUUGAGAUAGCUUGUAUGUUUCAUGCUAUUGUUGAGUUGAUUUAUCUGAGUCUUGUUAUGA